GGUGGCCUAGUGGUUUGAGUGUCCACCUUGGAUGCAUAAGACCAUGGGUUCAAACCCUAGCUGAAUCA
This is a non-coding RNA of Potamilus streckersoni, 68 nucleotides long. The record is from the annotation of a GenBank genome assembly. Lineage: Eukaryota; Metazoa; Mollusca; Bivalvia; Unionida; Unionidae.